AUAGCUGGUUCUCCCCGAAAGCUAUUUAGGUAGCGCCUCGUGAACUCAUCUUCGGGGGUAGAGCACUGUUUCGGCUAGGGGGUCAUCCCGACUUACCAACCCGAUGCAAACUGCGAAUACCGAAGAAUGUUAUCACGGGAGACACACGGCGGGUGCUAACGUCCGUCGUGAAGAGGGAAACAACCCAGACCGCCAGCUAAGGUCCCAAAGUCAUGGUUAAGUGGGAAACGAUGUGGGAAGGCACAGACAGCCAGGAUGUUGGCUUAGAAGCAGCCAUCAUUUAAAGAAAGCGUAAUAGCUCACUGGUCGAGUCGGCCUGCGCGGAAGAUGUAACGGGGCUAAACCAUGCACCGAAGCUGCGGCAGCGACACUAUGUGUUGUUGGGUAGGGGAGCGUUCUGUAAGCCGUUGAAGGUGUAUCGUGAGGUAUGCUGGAGGUAUCAGAAGUGCGAAUGCUGACAUAAGUAACGAUAAUGCGGGUGAAAAACCCGCACGCCGGAAGACCAAGGGUUCCUGUCCAACGUUAAUCGGGGCAGGGUGAGUCGACCCCUAAGGCGAGGCCGAAAGGCGUAGUCGAUGGGAAACAGGUUAAUAUUCCUGUACUUGGUGUUACUGCGAAGGGGGGACGGAGAAGGCUAUGUUAGCCGGGCGACGGUUGUCCCGGUUUAAGCAUGUAGGCGGAGGUUCCAGGUAAAUCCGGUACCUUUUUAACGCUGAGGUGUGAUGACGAGGCACUACGGUGCUGAAGUAACAAAUGCCCUGCUUCCAGGAAAAGCCUCUAAGCAUCAGGUAACACGAAAUCGUACCCCAAACCGACACAGGUGGUCAGGUAGAGAAUACCAAGGCGCUUGAGAGAACUCGGGUGAAGGAACUAGGCAAAAUGGUGCCGUAACUUCGGGAGAAGGCACGCUGAUAUGUAGGUGAAGUGAUUUACUCAUGGAGCUGAAAUCAGUCGAAGAUACCAGCUGGCUGCAACUGUUUAUUAAAAACACAGCACUGUGCAAACACGAAAGUGGACGUAUACGGUGUGACGCCUGCCCGGUGCCGGAAGGUUAAUUGAUGGGGUUAUCCGUAAGGAGAAGCUCUUGAUCGAAGCCCCGGUAAACGGCGGCCGUAACUAUAACGGUCCUAAGGUAGCGAAAUUCCUUGUCGGGUAAGUUCCGACCUGCACGAAUGGCGUAAUGAUGGCCAGGCUGUCUCCACCCGAGACUCAGUGAAAUUGAACUCGCUGUGAAGAUGCAGUGUACCCGCGGCAAGACGGAAAGACCCCGUGAACCUUUACUAUAGCUUGACACUGAACACUGGUCCUUGAUGUGUAGGAUAGGUGGGAGGCUUUGAAGUGUGGACGCCAGUCUGCAUGGAGCCAUCCUUGAAAUACCACCCUUUAAUGGCUGGUGUUCUAACGUGGACCCGUAAUCCGGGUUGCGGACAGUGUCUGGUGGGUAGUUUGACUGGGGCGGUCUCCUCCUAAAGAGUAACGGAGGAGCACGAAGGUUAGCUAAUCCUGGUCGGACAUCAGGAGGUUAGUGCAAAGGCAUAAGCUAGCUUGACUGCGAGAGUGACGGCUCGAGCAGGUGCGAAAGCAGGUCUUAGUGAUCCGGUGGUUCUGAAUGGAAGGGCCAUCGCUCAACGGAUAAAAGGUACUCCGGGGAUAACAGGCUGAUACCGCCCAAGAGUUCAUAUCGACGGCGGUGUUUGGCACCUCGAUGUCGGCUCAUCACAUCCUGGGGCUGAAGUAGGUCCCAAGGGUAUGGCUGUUCGCCAUUUAAAGUGGUACGCGAGCUGGGUUUAGAACGUCGUGAGACAGUUCGGUCCCUAUCUGCCGUGGGCGCUGGAGAAUUGAGGGGGGCUGCUCCUAGUACGAGAGGACCGGAGUGGACGCAUCACUGGUGUUCGGGUUGUCAUGCCAAUGGCAUUGCCCGGUAGCUAAAUGCGGAAGAGAUAAGUGCUGAAAGCAUCUAAGCACGAAACUUGCCCCGAGAUGAGUUCUCCCUGAGACUU
Molecule: ribosomal RNA, 2000 nt
Filed under: Citrobacter freundii
Lineage: Bacteria; Pseudomonadati; Pseudomonadota; Gammaproteobacteria; Enterobacterales; Enterobacteriaceae
Description: partial 23S ribosomal RNA
Rfam family: Bacterial large subunit ribosomal RNA
Source: RNAcentral